AUUGAACGCUGGCGGCAGGCCUAACACAUGCAAGUCGAGCGGAUGAAGGGGGCUUGCUCCUGGAUUCAGCGGCGGACGGGUGAGUAAUGCCUAGGAAUCUGCCUGGUAGUGGGGGAUAACGUCCGGAAACGGGCGCUAAUACCGCAUACGUCCUGAGGGAGAAAGUGGGGGAUCUUCGGACCUCACGCUAUCAGAUGAGCCUAGGUCGGAUUAGCUAGUUGGUGGGGUAAAGGCCUACCAAGGCGACGAUCCGUAACUGGUCUGAGAGGAUGAUCAGUCACACUGGAACUGAGACACGGUCCAGACUCCUACGGGAGGCAGCAGUGGGGAAUAUUGGACAAUGGGCGAAAGCCUGAUCCAGCCAUGCCGCGUGUGUGAAGAAGGUCUUCGGAUUGUAAAGCACUUUAAGUUGGGAGGAAGAGCAGUAAGUUAAUACCUUGCUGUUUUGACGUUACCAACAGAAUAAGCACCGGCUAACUUCGUG
This 484-nucleotide ribosomal RNA is filed under the name uncultured bacterium. Its description in RNAcentral is "partial 16S ribosomal RNA". It matches the Rfam family "Bacterial small subunit ribosomal RNA", at positions 30 to 507 of the family's 1533-position model. The record is from RNAcentral.